AAGACCUUGCACUUUUGGAGCGGCCGAUGUCUGAUUAGCUAGUUGGUGGGGUAAUGGCCUACCAAAGCUUCGAUCAGUAGCUGGUCUGAGAGGACGGCCAGCCACACUGGGACUGAGACACGGCCCAGACUCCUACGGGAGGCAGCAGUGGGGAAUUUUGGACAAUGGGCGCAAGCCUGAUCCAGCCAUGCCGCGUGAGUGAAGAAGGCCUUCGGGUUGUAAAGCUCUUUCAGCCGGGAAGAAAAGGUUGCGACUAAUAAUCGCAAUUCAUGACGGUACCGAAAGAAGAAGCACCGGCUAACUACGUGCCAGCAGCCGCGGUAAUACGUAGGGUGCGAGCGUUAAUCGGAAUUACUGGGCGUAAAGGGUGCGCAGGCGGUUUUGUAAGUCAGACGUGAAAUCCCCGGGCUUAACCUGGGAACU
This 423-nucleotide ribosomal RNA is filed under the name uncultured bacterium. Its description in RNAcentral is "bacterial SSU rRNA". It matches the Rfam family "Bacterial small subunit ribosomal RNA", at positions 207 to 622 of the family's 1533-position model. The record is from RNAcentral.